RNAcentral lists this unclassified non-coding RNA (513 nucleotides) under Hevea brasiliensis (rubber tree). The record is from RNAcentral. Lineage: Eukaryota; Viridiplantae; Streptophyta; Magnoliopsida; Malpighiales; Euphorbiaceae.
GUCAAAAGCAGAGAUGGAAGCACUUAAGGAGGCCAAAGGGGUCAGUAAGUAUGUUGAAGUGCCAGGUGCUCUCCUUCCCCAGGAAGAGUGUCCUGAAAUUGUUGCAGAACAGCUUUACAGAUUUCUGCAAGAGAUAUAUGAGCUGUAGGCUUAUGAUGAUUAUCAGCUCAAGUAGUCAAAGGUACCGAAUUUUUUCCCAUGUGCAACAGUGAAGUUAAUUGGUUAAAUAUGAGAGUAUGAGAUUACAGUGCCUUCACCUUUAUACAUGAUAAAUAUGAAGAUUUCCUAAGAGUAUGAGUUUAUAUCUGGAUUGAUAGAUCUUUCUCCUCUUGAACCAAACCUAGAACUAAAGAACGUUGAGCGCUAAACCGAUCUAAGACAAAUAAUGUUCUUAUUCAAUAUGCUGCUAUAGCGUUUUCUUAGUUGUGAUUGUUCUUUUUUUAUAUAUUAAAAAUUACAGAUACAUCAGUUCUUUAUGUAUGAGGAUAUAAAUUUUACAUUGAUCUUUUGGUU